RNAcentral lists this transfer RNA (64 nucleotides) under Ptilodactylidae sp. 3 ACP-2013. RNAcentral describes it as "tRNA-His". The record is from RNAcentral. Lineage: Eukaryota; Metazoa; Arthropoda; Insecta; Coleoptera; Ptilodactylidae.
UUUAAAUAGUUUAUAUAAAAUAUUGAUUUGUGGGGUCAGGGAUACACAGUUGUGUUUUAAAUAA